GGCGGCGUGCUUAACACAUNCAGGUCGAACGGUGGUAGCAAUACCACAGUGGCGCACGGGUGAGGAACACGUAGCUUAUCUGCCCCGAAGUGUGGGAUAACGUUCCGAAAGGAAUGCUAAUACCGCAUAAGCUCCCGAGCUGUAGAGGCUUGGGAGAAAAGGCGCAAGUCGCUUUGGGAGGAGGCUGCGGCCCAUCAGGUAGUUGGUGCGGUAACGGCGCACCAAGCCAACGACGGGUAGGGGACCUGAGAGGGUGACCCCCCACACUGGGACUGAGACACGGCCCAGACUCCUACGGGAGGCAGCAGUGAGGAAUAUUGCCCAAUGGGCGCAAGCCUGAGGCAGCGACGCCGCGUGGGUGAAGAAGGCCUUCGGGUCGUAAAGCCCUUUUCUGCGUGACGAGACAAGGACGGUAGCGCAGGAAAAAGUCUCGGCUAACUACGUGCCAGCAGCCGCGGUAAAACGU
RNAcentral lists this ribosomal RNA (466 nucleotides) under uncultured bacterium. Its description in RNAcentral is "bacterial SSU rRNA". It matches the Rfam family "Bacterial small subunit ribosomal RNA", at positions 38 to 528 of the family's 1533-position model. The record is from RNAcentral.